UCACUGUCGGGUCAAAUGGAAAAUUACGCAUUGAGGGCCUACUUUGUGCAGAGUGCCGGACUGAACACAGCUGAAAGCUCUAGAACUGCAGAUGUCAGAAAGGGAGGCUCCUGGUGCCCAACAAUGUCACCUGGCAGUACUGCAUUUGUGGGGUCUGAUUCUCAGCAUUUCAAAGCAGAGCACACUGCUGUCCAUAUACGUGGAAUUGGCCCGUUUCUCAUGGAUGGGAUCAUACGAGCCAAGCACAUGACAUGGCAACAAAACAAACCAAUCCGUGGACCCAGAAACCCAAUGCGUUGUUUUAACAAUGAUGUUCUUGACUGAUCUGCUUCUGCUCCUAUUAAGGACCCGCUUCCAGAUAUCGAGGCGUCUUGGAGGCCAACCAGUAAUUAGAAGGUUUCUCAGUGAGAGUGCACUCAGCACCAAGGAAGGGAAUCUUGAGGAGUAUUUCACCCUCUUUGUGAUCCCCCUGUACCUAGUGUUCUGCCACUAUGGUGCAACCAAUCACACUGAACAGAAUUUAUUAGAUUAUACAAUUGUCUUCCUAGGAACUUCCUAUGUACUCUUAAAGAACAGAAGCCGUGUCUUGGCUGCACAAUAAACGUGUGUUGCAUUGAAAUUAUUAAGUUGGACUCUCUUCAUCCCAAAACGCAACCCAGACUAGUUAGAAUACGAGCACUUGCCAGAGUCAAUGUGCACAUCUCUCUUAGAAAGGACAGAGUAAACCAUUCUGGCUAUGGAGUGGAGAAAAAAUUAGAAGGCAAGUGGAGACGCAAGUGGACAAAUUAAGGGGCUAAUUGCUAAUUUAGGCAAGAAACAAUUGUAGAUGGACAAAUAAUUGUUGUAUAUUCAUAUAAUGGAAUGGAAUGGAAAACUACACAAUUGAGAAAAAGAACAAACUAUUGAUCUAUGCAACAGCAUGAAUGACUCUCAUAGACGAUGUGACAAGAAAGAAGCCAAACUCCAGAUGUAUACGUUAUGAGAAGCUGGAUGAGCAAGGCUCUGUGUUAGAGCUAUUGUGGAAACAAUCCUAAGUGCCGGCAGUGCAUGGGGACCGUGACCCAAACCCUUCUACAACAGCCCAAGCCACACCCUGCCAAAGCUCCCAAAGGCGUGGCUUAGGUCUUAUGGUGGAGACGAGAGAGAACCGGGGUCCAGAACGACUCGAGGACAGCUUUGGAAACUCCACCUGCUGGACUGGAGUGAGACAAGCAGAAGGGGAUACGUGUGCUAACACCAUGGUUCUCACCCACACCAAGACAGCAUACUGUGACAGAGGCUGCUGGCUAACCCCCAAAAUUUAUGCUCUCCCUUCUGUAGUGUGAAUUUGUUGCUGGGAGGUGACUGUCCAACCAUAGGUUUAUUUCCCAGUACCCCUUGAAUCCAGGUGUGACCACAGGACUAGUUCUCACCAACGGAGAGUAAGUAGAACUGAGGUGCACCAUUUUCAGAAUUUGCCAUUAGCUGGAAGCAGAAGACAGAAGAUCCACAGGAUGGAAGGAAGCUGGGUGUCUGAAUUACCAUAAGGAAGAAAGCUCCCGGUGAUCAGGAUUAUACACACCAGACUGCUACAUGAUGGAAAAAUAAACUUUUCUUGUGUUAAGC
This 1605-nucleotide long non-coding RNA is filed under the name Equus caballus (horse). Its description in RNAcentral is "lncRNA (ENSECAG00000055675.1)". Lineage: Eukaryota; Metazoa; Chordata; Mammalia; Perissodactyla; Equidae. The record is from RNAcentral.